Molecule: ribosomal RNA, 1141 nt
Filed under: uncultured Armatimonadota bacterium
Lineage: Bacteria; Bacillati; Armatimonadota
Description: bacterial SSU rRNA
Rfam family: Bacterial small subunit ribosomal RNA
Source: RNAcentral
GACGAACGCUGGCGGCGUGCCUAAAACAUGCAAGUCGAACGGAGGCCUCGGCCUCAGUGGCGAACGGCGGAGUAACACGUGAGCAAGCUGCCCCCGAGACCGGGACAGUCGCUGGAAACGGCGGGUAAUACCGGAUUCGGCCCCCCUUCGGCAUCGGAGGGGGACCAAAGGGUUUUUCGCUCGGGGAGGCGCUCACGGCCUAUCAGGUAGUUGGCGGGGUAACGGCCCACCAAGCCGACGACGGGUAGCGGGUCUGAGAGGAUGGUCCGCUCGAGUGGGACUGAGACACGGCCCACACACCUACGGGUGGCAGCAGUUGGGAAUCUUGCACAAUGGGCGAAAGCCUGAUGCAGCGACGCCGCGUGGGGGACGAAGGGUCUAGGCCUGUAAACCCCUUUUGCCGGGAAAGACUUAGGACGGUACCCGGCGAAUAAGCCCCGGCUAACUACGUGCCAGCAGCCGCGGUAAGACGUAGGGGGCGAGCGUUGUCCGGAUUUACUGGGCGUAAAGGGCGCGUAGGCGGCCCGUUAAGUGUGGAGUGAAAGCCCCGGGCUCAACCCGGGAAUCGCUCCGCAUACUGGCGGGCUCGAGGGUGGCAGAGGUGUGCGGAAUUGCCGGUGUAGCGGUGAAAUGCGUUGAUAUCGGCAGGAACACCCGUGGCGAAGGCGGCACACUGGGCCACACCUGACGCUGAGGCGCGAAAGCGUGGGUAGCAAACAGGAUUAGAUACCCUGGUAGUCCACGCCCUAAACGAUGGACGCUAGGCGUCGGGGGUAUCGACCCCCCCGGUGCCGCAGCCAGCGCGAUAAGCGUCCCGCCUGGGGACUACGGCCGCAAGGUUGAAACUCAAAUGAAUUGACGGGGACCCGCACAAGCGGUGGAGCAUGUGGAUUAAUUCGAUACUAACCGAAGAACCUUACCCAGGCUUGACAUCGAUGGAAAGCGCCCGAAAGGGCGCCCCCUCCCACAAGGAGGCCAGAAGACACUUGUUGCAUGGCUGUCGUCAGCUCGUGCCGUGAGGUGUACGGUUAAGUCCGCCAACGAGCGCAACCCCCGUCCCGCGUUGCCAGCACGAAAGGUGGGGACUCGCGGGAGACCGCCGGUGCAAGCCGGAGGAAGGUGGGGACGACGUCAAGUCGGC